Hipposideros armiger (great roundleaf bat) is the source of this 372-nucleotide long non-coding RNA. RefSeq lists it as uncharacterized. The record is from RefSeq and is a predicted model, not a curated record. NCBI's taxonomy places the organism in Eukaryota, Metazoa, Chordata, Mammalia, Chiroptera, Hipposideridae. The transcript is spliced from 3 exons.
GAAGACUUCACCUUACUCCGUGCCCAGCACAUAGGAGGCUCAACAAAAUGCACGUUCGUUUAGGGCUCCUGGAAUCACAGCAUUUACCUGCACGAAAGCCUCACCCGUAAGGCCCCAAAAUGAAGGUGUGUCUUAUACAUGGGAGCAUCUUAUACAUGGGGAAAUACGGUAUCUCCUUCCAGUCCUGAAACGUGGAAAGCAACCACGACCCUGUGAAAAUGGUCAUCUUCAUGGCAACAUGAUGGAGGACCCAGGCUCCGGGGGCUGCCCAGCCGUUUCCUUCAGGACCAUGACAAAGAAAGCUGCCUGCCAUCAUCCAGGUUUUCCUCCCCCGCCCCUCUGCCCCCAUCCCCCCCUUGUAUCCUCCCCAGC